AGGGUGUAAACGCUGCAGACUUGGUGUUGGGAACCCUUCGGGGGUGCUCAGUGCCGGAGAGAAGUUGUUAAGUCUGCUACUUGGGGAGUACGUCCGCAAGGAUGAAACUUAAAGGAAUUGGCGGGGGAGCACCGCAACGGGAGGAGCGUGCGGUUUAAUUGGAUUCAACGCCGAAAAACUCACCAGCAGCGACUGUUACAUGAAAGUCAGGUUGAUGACUUUACUAGAUUUUCAGAGAGGUGGUGCAUGGCGUCAGUGACU
RNAcentral lists this ribosomal RNA (261 nucleotides) under uncultured archaeon. RNAcentral's name for it is "partial 16S ribosomal RNA". It matches the Rfam family "Archaeal small subunit ribosomal RNA", at positions 748 to 1008 of the family's 1478-position model. The record is from RNAcentral.